Molecule: ribosomal RNA, 468 nt
Filed under: uncultured bacterium
Lineage: Bacteria
Description: partial 16S ribosomal RNA
Rfam family: Bacterial small subunit ribosomal RNA
Source: RNAcentral
GACGAACGCUGGCGGCGUGCUUAACACAUGCAAGUCGAACGGAAAGGCCCUGCUUUUGCGGGUUGCUCGAGUGGCGAACGGGUGAGUAACACGUGAGUAACCUGCCCUUGACUUUGGGAGAACUUCAGGAAACUGGGGCUAAUACCGGAUAGGAGCUCCUGCUGCACGGUGGGGGUUGGAAAGUUUCGGCGGUUGGGGCUGGACUCGCUGCUUAUCAGCUUCUUGGUGGGGUAGUGGAUGACCAAGGGUGUGACGGGUAGCCGGCCUGAGAGGGUGGCCGGGCACAAUGGGACUAAGAUACGGCGCAGUAUCCUACGGGAGGCAGCAGUGGGGAGUAUUGCACAGUAAGCGGAAGCCUGAUGCGGCGACGCCGCGUGCGGGAUGACGGCCUUCGGGUUGUAAACCGCUUUCGCCUGUGACGAAGCGUGAGUGACGGUAAUGGGUAAAGAAGCACCGGCUAACUACGUG